AGGGUUUGAUCCUGGCUCAGAGUGAACGCUGGCGGCGUGGAUUAGGCAUGCAAGUCGAGCGAUCCUUUUUAUUGAAGGAGAUUGAAGCCUUCGGGCUGAUGUCUUCGGAUAUAAUGUGGAUAGCGGCAAACGGGUGAGUAAUACGUGGGCAACGUACCCUGGGGAGGAGAAUAGCUUCGAGAAAUCGGAGGUAAUACUCCAUACUCCCUUUUUUUCUGGAAUGGAGAAAGGGCAAAGAUGGCGGAAGACUUCGGUCUGCUAUCGCCCAAGGAGCGGCUCAUGGCCUAUCAGGUUGUUGGUAGGGUAACGGCCUACCAAGCCAUAGACGGGUAGCUGGCCUGAGAGGGUGGUCAGCCACAUCGGGACUGAGACACUGCCCGGACUCCUACGGGAGGCUGCAGUCGAGAAUCUUUCCCAAUGAGCGAAAGCUUGAGGAUGCGACGCCGCGUGAGGGAUGAAGGCUUUCGGGUUGUAAACCUCUUUUAUCGGGGAGGAAGACCCUUCCUUUAAAUAAGGGGAAGGAGUGACUUUACUCGAUGAAUAAGUCACGGCUAACUCCGUGCCAGCAGCCGCGGUAAUACGGAGGUGGCAAGCGUUACUCGGUUUGACUGGGUGUAAAGGGUCCGCAGGCGGCCUAAUAAGUGAAAGGUGAAAUCUCUCGGCUUAACCGAGAAACUGCUUUUCAAACUGUUAGGCUUGAGGCUGGAAGAGGAGAGCGGAACUGCCAGUGUAAGGGUGAAAUCUGUGGAUAUUGGCAGGAACGUCCGUGGGGAAGCCGGCUCUCUGGUUCAGAUCUGACGCUGAGGGACGAAAGCUAGGGGAGCAAACAGGAUUAGAUACCCUGGUAGUCCUAGCUGUAAACGAUGGGCACUAGGUGUUUGUCCGCAAGGAUGAGUGCCGCAGGUAACCCGAUAAGUGCCCCACCUGGGAACUACGGCCGCAAGGCUAAAACUCAAAGGAAUUGACGGGGGCCCGCACAAGCGGUGGAACACGUGGUUUAAUUCGAUGCUACGCGAGAAACCUUAUCCAGGGCUUGACAUGCAGGAAGUAGUAUCUCGAAAGAGAGUCCGACCGGUAUCCAAUCCGGAACCUGCACAGGUGCUGCAUGGCUGUCGUCAGCUCGUGCCGUGAGGUGUUCCCUUAAGUGGGAGAACGAGCGCAACCCUCGCCCUUUGUUGCUACCCAUUCUUUUAGAAUGGCGCACUCUAAGGGGACUGCCCGCGUUAAGUGGGAGGAAGGUGGGGACGACGUCAAGUCCGCAUGGCCUUUAUGCCCUGGGCUACACACGUGUUACAAUGCCUGCUACAAAGGGCGGCCAAACCGCAAGGUGGAGCAAAUCUCAAAAAAGCAGGCUCAGUUCGGAUCGAGGUCUGCAACUCGACCUCGUGAAGCUGGAAUCGCUAGUAAUGGCGCAUCAUCACGGCGCCGUGAAUACGUUCCCGGGCCUUGUACACACCGCCCGUCAAGCGCUGAAAGUGGGGGGCACCCGAAGCCCCGAUUCGUCGGGAUCACGGUGAAUUUCAUGAUUGGCGCUAAGUCGUAACAAGGUA
RNAcentral lists this ribosomal RNA (1550 nucleotides) under metagenome. RNAcentral describes it as "bacterial SSU rRNA". It matches the Rfam family "Bacterial small subunit ribosomal RNA". The record is from RNAcentral.